Long non-coding RNA from Equus caballus (horse), 1851 nucleotides. The record is from Ensembl. Lineage: Eukaryota; Metazoa; Chordata; Mammalia; Perissodactyla; Equidae.
AGAAGGCUCCAGAGUUCCUGGAGCAGCAAUGGGCAGAGUGGGUGGGGAUCUGGGGACAGCUAUGCUUUCUUCUGGUGCAAAGACAAGGCCCAGGCUUAGGUGAGGGGGUUGAAACUGGUAUUCUUGGAAAGCUCCAAGCUAAAUGAGCUAGGAAUGUGAAUCGUAAGAAUAAUGUGUCUCCCUAAGAGCAUGCUGGGAAACAAGCCAAUCUGGGCAGCUCAUGCUUGUUGCCAUGCAUGCAAUUGAAUUUCCCCAGAAUGCUUCAGGAACUCUAGGAGAAAGACGCUGGGGCCCUUUGAUAUGGCAAUUUAGAUCAAGUUGCAGAGACUGAAGUGUAGGUCAGAGGGAGAAAUGUGGCCAAGAACUCACCAGCAGGAGCAAUGGAGGAGAAGGUGCUUCUUGUUGGGCCUGAGGGAGCCCUGGGUGCUCCGGCUGGGUCAGCUCUCCAUGGCCGAGGGACGUGCUGGUCUCAGGGCACACAGGAGGACUGGCAGGAAGGAGCCUGCCCAGCUGAUGCUUGGGAUUCAGAAAUCCUAUCCUUCUGUGAAACAGGAUCGUGCUUGCUGUCUGUCUCUGGAGGAAGCUGGAGAGAGAGGAUCCCAUCAGGGUUGGUGGGCAGAGGGCAAGGUGCAGGGCGCCAGGGGCAAACCGGGCAAAGUGAACUCAGGAAACGGUGACCUGCUACCUUCAUGGCUGACCACACACAGAUCAGAUACUGACCCAGAGGCUGAAUUAGGUGCUGACUCAGGGGACAUUUCCUAAAAGCUAGUGAUAACAUAUAGGCCCAGAGCGGGGCGGUGGUGGGCUUGUUUCUCCCCAUCAUUGCCCCCAGCUCACAGGAGACCUUGCCCAUAAAUGGGUGAUCAAGUCGGGCGUGGUUUUCCUGGGCUUCUCGGUGCCUGAUCCCCGGCACUGAGGUUCUUACUGUGGGGCCCCAGACUCCAUCUGGGUCUCCCCCACCUUCCUGGGACAAGGGCCAGGGUGGGGCACAGCUGGGGCUUGCUUCAGUCCCAUUGGACCUGGGGGACAGAACUGGGACCUGACCAACCAGGAAAGGGUCCUUUCACCAAUGUCAAUCAGACCCCUUCAAGCUCCCUGGGAGAACCCUGGCCUGGAGGAGAGAGGAGCCCUCACCCCACAGUGCCAUGCAGGGGAAUUGCCCCAGCUCUCUGCCCUCACCAUCCUGAGGGCCUCUAUGAGAGUAACAACAAGAAGGAGAGGCAGAGAGGCGGAAUAAGACUGCAAUCUGUUAGAAGACUUGGUGUUGAGUUUUAUAUUUACUCACUGGUCACCUUGAGCAUAUCCUUUAAUCUCUCUGAGAGAACACAGCACAGUGGUUCAGCAUACGGCCUCUGGAGCCGAUUGUCUGGGUUCAAAUCCAGGCUCAGCUACUAGCUGUGUGACCUUGGGCAAUUACCUAACCUCUCUGAGCUUCCAUUUCCUCAUCUAUAAAAUGGGGAUGAGAAUAAUAGUAUAUCUGUCACAGCGUUGCUGUGAGAUUUAACUGAAUUGAUACAUAUAAAACAUAUGAACAUAUAUACAUAAAACAUAUAUACACAUAAAACAAUGCCCGGGAUGGUGAAAUAGCCUAUGGAAGUAUGGCUUGCUCUCAGGGAUCCGUGGACACACAGUGCUUUACUCCACAAGAGUGCCCUGACCCCACCAUAGCUCAGCUCCCUGGGACAGGCAACGGGGCCAACACAAAGGUCUUUCUCCUCCACCGCUGAUGAGUCGUCAGUAAAGGACGCCCUGCCGGCUCCCUCGGCCUUUCUCCUCCUUGUUGCUGCUUCCCCUCAGGGAUGCUCAGUUGGCCUUGUCUUGUGGGGAGUGGAUGGCAGACAAGAGUCCCAG